This 253-nucleotide ribosomal RNA is filed under the name uncultured bacterium. RNAcentral's name for it is "partial 16S ribosomal RNA". It matches the Rfam family "Bacterial small subunit ribosomal RNA", at positions 524 to 776 of the family's 1533-position model. The record is from RNAcentral.
UACGAAGGGGGCUAGCGUUGUUCGGAAUUACUGGGCGUAAAGCGCGCGCAGGCGGCUAUCCAAGUCAGUGGUGAAAGCCCGGAGCUCAACUCCGGAACUGCCAUUGAAACUGUUUAGCUGGAGUAUGAGAGAGGUGAGUGGAAUUCCCAGUGUAGAGGUGAAAUUCGUAGAUAUUGGGAAGAACACCAGUGGCGAAGGCGACACACUGGGCCAUUACUGACGCUGAGGCGCGAAAGCGUGGGGAGCAAACAGG